AUGCAGUCGAGCGCCCCGCAAGGGGAGCGGCAGACGGGUGAGUAACGCGUGGGAACGUACCCUUUACUACGGAACAACUCCGGGAAACUGGAGCUAAUACCGUAUGUGCCCUUUGGGGGAAAGAUUUAUCGGUAAAGGAUCGGCCCGCGUUGGAUUAGCUAGUUGGUGGGGUAAAGGCCUACCAAGGCGACGAUCCAUAGCUGGUCUGAGAGGAUGAUCAGCCACAUUGGGACUGAGACACGGCCCAAACUCCUACGGGAGGCAGCAGUGGGGAAUAUUGGACAAUGGGCGCAAGCCUGAUCCAGCCAUGCCGCGUGAAUGAUGAAGGCCUUAGGGUUGUAAAGUUCUUUCACCGGAGAAGAUAAUGACGGUAUCCGGAGAAGAAGCCCCGGCUAACUUCGUGCCAGCAGCCGCGGUAAUACGAAGGGGGCUAGCGUUGUUCGGAAUUACUGGGCGUAAAGCGCACGUAGGCGGACAUUUAAGUCAGGGGUGAAAUCCCAGAGCUCAACUCUGGAACUGCCUUUGAUACUGGGUGUCUUGAGUGUGGAAGAGGUCAGUGGAAUUGCGAGUGUAGAGGUGAAAUUCGUAGAUAUUCGCAGGAACACCAGUGGCGAAGGCGGCUGACUGGUCCACAACUGACGCUGAGGUGCGAAAGCGUAGGGAGCAAACAGGAUUAGAUACCCUGGUAGUCCACGCCGUAAACGAUGAAUGUUAGUCGUCGGGCAGUUUACUGUUCGGUGACGCAGCUAACGCAUUAAACAUUCCGCCUGGGGAGUACGGUCGCAAGAUUA
Molecule: ribosomal RNA, 791 nt
Filed under: uncultured bacterium
Lineage: Bacteria
Description: bacterial SSU rRNA
Rfam family: Bacterial small subunit ribosomal RNA
Source: RNAcentral